GCCCCCGUAGCCCAAGGGAGGAGAGGCUGACCCCCUAAAAGGGUCUGCAGUGUCGGUUCGAACCCGACCGGGGGCA
RNAcentral lists this transfer RNA (76 nucleotides) under Nocardiopsaceae bacterium. Its description in RNAcentral is "tRNA-Leu". The record is from RNAcentral. Lineage: Bacteria; Bacillati; Actinomycetota; Actinomycetes; Streptosporangiales; Nocardiopsidaceae.